GUUGGUCUGUGUCCAUUGAAUUGGCAAGUACCUAGCAUCUUCGAGCAGGGAACCAUGGCACCCUUUUAGCAUGUGUUCCACUUUAUCCAUUAACAUCGACUUGUAGUCAUAACAUUUUAACAUAUUACAUUAUGUAAACCAUAUAUGAUGAUGUUAACACUAUUUACAGUGUGCUAGUUUCAAAAUACUCGGCAGGAUGCACUGAAGAUGUUCUGUUUAGAACGAAAACGUUCUGCAAUAGAUGACAUUUUAUAGUUUUAAAUAAACGAUUUUAUACCAGAAUACAUCUCGAAGUUUUUACUUCUGUAUUGGUUUGUAAUAAAAUAUACCAAUAAAAUAAUUUUUGAUAAGAA
This is a long non-coding RNA of Diabrotica virgifera virgifera (western corn rootworm), 353 nucleotides long. RefSeq lists it as uncharacterized. NCBI's taxonomy places the organism in Eukaryota, Metazoa, Arthropoda, Insecta, Coleoptera, Chrysomelidae. The record is from RefSeq and is a predicted model, not a curated record. The transcript is spliced from 2 exons.